UUCUGGAUAUCCUCAGGAGG
This 20-nucleotide unclassified non-coding RNA is filed under the name Chlamydomonas reinhardtii. RNAcentral's name for it is "small RNA Cre_3851". The record is from RNAcentral. Lineage: Eukaryota; Viridiplantae; Chlorophyta; Chlorophyceae; Chlamydomonadales; Chlamydomonadaceae.